Molecule: ribosomal RNA, 726 nt
Filed under: uncultured Spiroplasma sp.
Lineage: Bacteria; Bacillati; Mycoplasmatota; Mollicutes; Entomoplasmatales; Spiroplasmataceae
Description: bacterial SSU rRNA
Rfam family: Bacterial small subunit ribosomal RNA
Source: RNAcentral
GAGUUUGAUCAUGGCUCAGGAUUAACGCUGGCGGCAUGCCUAAUACAUGCAAGUCGAACGGAGUAGCAAUACUUAGUGGCGAACGGGUGAGUAACACGUAUCUAAUCUACCAUUUAGUGGGGAAUAACUGUUGGAAACGACAGCUAAUACCGCAUAAUAUUGCUGGAUAAUUCCCAGUAAUGAAAGGAGCUUUCAAGCUCCGCUGAUUGAUGAGGAUGCGGCGCAUUAGCUAGUUGGUAGGGUAAUGGCCUACCAAGGCAAUGAUGCGUAGCCGAUCUGAGAGGAUGAACGGCCACAUUGGGACUGAGACACGGCCCAAACUUCUACGGAAGGCAGCAGUAGGGAAUUUUUCACAAUGGGCGAAAGCCUGAAGGAGCAAUGCCGCGUGACUGAUGAAGGUCUUCGGAUUGUAAAGGUCUGUUGUAAGGGAAGAAAUGGUAAAACAGGAAAUGGUUUUAUCUAUGACGGUACCUUACCAGAAAGCCACGGCUAACUAUGUGCCAGCAGCCGCGGUAAUACAUAGGUGGCAAGCGUUAUCCGGAUUUAUUGGGCGUAAAGGGUGCGUAGACGGUUUUGCAAGUCUGAGGUUAAAUUUAGGAGCUCAACUCCUAAUCGCCUUGNAAACUACAAGACUAGAGUAUAGGAGAGGUUAGUGGAAUUCCAUGUGUAGCGGUGGAAUGUGUAGAUAUAUGGAGGAACACCAGUGGCGAANGCGGCUAACUGGGC